RNAcentral lists this non-coding RNA (72 nucleotides) under unclassified sequences. RNAcentral's name for it is "pemK RNA". It matches the Rfam family "pemK RNA". The record is from RNAcentral.
AUAAUGAGACUUCCGUCUGGGCAAAGGCCCAUGCGGCUCGGUGAGAACCACGGAGGGGUGAAAGGCCCAUGG